UAGGGAAUCUUCGGCAAUGGACGAAAGUCUGACCGAGCAACGCCGCGUGAGUGAAGAAGGUUUUCGGAUCGUAAAACUCUGUUGUUAGAGAAGAACAAGGACGUUAGUAACUGAACGUCCCCUGACGGUAUCUAACCAGAAAGCCACGGCUAACUACGUGCCAGCAGCCGCGGUAAUACGUAGGUGGCAAGCGUUGUCCGGAUUUAUUGGGCGUAAAGCGAGCGCAGGCGGUUUCUUAAGUCUGAUGUGAAAGCCCCCGGCUCAACCGGGGAGGGUCAUUGGAAACUGGGAGACUUGAGUGCAGAAGAGGAGAGUGGAAUUCCAUGUGUAGCGGUGAAAUGCGUAGAUAUAUGGAGGAACACCAGUGGCGAAGGCGGCUCUCUGGUCUGUAACUGACGCUGAGGCUCGGAAGCGUGGGGAGCAAACAGG
Molecule: ribosomal RNA, 429 nt
Filed under: Gemmatimonadota bacterium
Lineage: Bacteria; Pseudomonadati; Gemmatimonadota
Description: Gemmatimonadetes bacterium partial 16S ribosomal RNA
Rfam family: Bacterial small subunit ribosomal RNA
Source: RNAcentral